RNAcentral lists this ribosomal RNA (459 nucleotides) under uncultured bacterium. Its description in RNAcentral is "partial 16S ribosomal RNA". It matches the Rfam family "Bacterial small subunit ribosomal RNA", at positions 338 to 795 of the family's 1533-position model. The record is from RNAcentral.
CCUACGGGGGGCAGCAGUGAGGAAUAUUGGUCAAUGGACGCAAGUCUGAACCAGCCAUGCCGCGUGCAGGAAGACGGUCCUAUGGAUUGUAAACCUCUUUUGUCGGGGAGCAAAAGACGCCACGCGUGGCGAUCCGAGAGUACCCGAAGAAAAAGCAUCGGCUAACUCCGUGCCAGCAGCCGCGGUAAUACGGAGGAUGCGAGCGUUAUCCGGAUUUAUGGGGUUUAAAGGGUGCGCAGGCGGAAGAUCAAGUCAGCGGUAAAAUUGAGAGGCUCAACCUCUUCGUGCCGUUGAAACUGGUUUUCUUGAGUGAGCGAGAAGUAUGCGGAAUGCGUGGUGUAGCGGUGAAAUGCGUAGAUAUCACGCAGAACUCCGAUUGCGAAGGCAGCAUACCGGCGCUCAACUGACGCUCAUGCACGAAAGUGUGGGUAGCGAACAGGAUUAGAUACCCUUGUAGUC